Molecule: ribosomal RNA, 1343 nt
Filed under: uncultured bacterium
Lineage: Bacteria
Description: 16S ribosomal RNA
Rfam family: Bacterial small subunit ribosomal RNA
Source: RNAcentral
GACGAACGCUGGCGGCGUGCUUAACACAUGCAAGUCGAACGGAAAGGCCCUGCUUUUGUGGGGUGCUCGAGUGGCGAACGGGUGAGUAACACGUGAGUAACCUGCCCUUGACUUUGGGAUAACUUCAGGAAACUGGGGCUAAUACCGGAUAGGAGCUCCUGCUGCAUGGUGGGGGUUGGAAAGUUUCGGCGGUUGGGGAUGGACUCGCGGCUUAUCAGCUUGUUGGUGGGGUAGUGGCUUACCAAGGCUUUGACGGGUAGCCGGCCUGAGAGGGUGACCGGCCACAUUGGGACUGAGAUACGGCCCAGACUCCUACGGGAGGCAGCAGUGGGGAAUAUUGCACAAUGGGCGGAAGCCUGAUGCAGCAACGCCGCGUGCGGGAUGACGGCCUUCGGGUUGUAAACCGCUUUCGCCUGUGACGAAGCGUGAGUGACGGUAAUGGGUAAAGAAGCACCGGCUAACUACGUGCCAGCAGCCGCGGUGAUACGUAGGGUGCGAGCGUUGUCCGGAUUUAUUGGGCGUAAAGGGCUCGUAGGUGGUUGAUCGCGUCGGAAGUGUAAUCUUGGGGCUUAACCCUGAGCGUGCUUUCGAUACGGGUUGACUUGAGGAAGGUAGGGGAGAAUGGAAUUCCUGGUGGAGCGGUGGAAUGCGCAGAUAUCAGGAGGAACACCAGUGGCGAAGGCGGUUCUCUGGGCCUUUCCUGACGCUGAGGAGCGAAAGCGUGGGGAGCGAACAGGCUUAGAUACCCUGGUAGUCCACGCUGUAAACGGUGGGUACUAGGUGUGGGGUCCAUUCCACGGGUUCCGUGCCGUAGCUAACGCUUUAAGUACCCCGCCUGGGGAGUACGGCCGCAAGGCUAAAACUCAAAGGAAUUGACGGGGCCCCGCACAAGCGGCGGAGCAUGCGGAUUAAUUCGAUGCAACGCGUAGAACCUUACCUGGGUUUGACAUGGAUCGGGAGCGCUCAGAGAUGGGUGUGCCUCUUUUGGGGUCGGUUCACAGGUGGUGCAUGGCUGUCGUCAGCUCGUGUCGUGAGAUGUUGGGUUAAGUCCCGCAACGAGCGCAACCCUUGUUCACUGUUGCCAGCACGUUAUGGUGGGGACUCAGUGGAGACCGCCGGGGUCAACUCGGAGGAAGGUGGGGAUGACGUCAAGUCAUCAUGCCCCUUAUGUCCAGGGCUUCACGCAUGCUACAAUGGCUGGUACAGAGAGUGGCGAGCCUGUGAGGGUGAGCGAAUCCCGGAAAGCCGGUCUCAGUUCGGAUUGGGGUCUGCAACUCGACCUCAUGAAGUCGGAGUCGCUAGUAAUCGCAGAUCAGCAACGCUGCGGUGAAUACGUUCCCGGG